GGCAGCAUGGUCUUAGCUUGCUAAGGCUGAUGGCGACCGGCGCACGGGUGAGUAACACGUAUCCAACCUGCCGUCUACUCUUGGCCAGCCUUCUGAAAGGAAGAUUAAUCCAGGAUGGGAUCAUGAGUUCACAUGUCCGCAUGAUUAAAGGUAUUUUCCGGUAGACGAUGGGGAUGCGUUCCAUUAGAUAGUAGGCGGGGUAACGGCCCACCUAGUCAACGAUGGAUAGGGGUUCUGAGAGGAAGGUCCCCCACAUUGGAACUGAGACACGGUCCAAACUCCUACGGGAGGCAGCAGUGAGGAAUAUUGGUCAAUGGGCGAUGGCCUGAACCAGCCAAGUAGCGUGAAGGAUGACUGCCCUAUGGGUUGUAAACUUCUUUUAUAAAGGAAUAAAGUCGGGUAUGCAUACCCGUUUGCAUGUACUUUAUGAAUAAGGAUCGGCUAACUCCGUGCCAGCAGCCGCGGUAAUACGGAGGAUCCGAGCGUUAUCCGGAUUUAUUGGGUUUAAAGGGAGCGUAGAUGGAUGUUUAAGUCAGUUGUGAAAGUUUGCGGCUCAACCGUAAAAUUGCAGUUGAUACUGGAUGUCUUGAGUGCAGUUGAGGCAGGCGGAAUUCGUGGUGUAGCGGUGAAAUGCUUAGAUAUCACGAAGAACUCCGAUUGCGAAGGCAGCCUGCUAAGCUGCAACUGACAUUGAGGCUCGAAAGUGUGGGUAUCAAAC
This 718-nucleotide ribosomal RNA is filed under the name uncultured Bacteroidales bacterium. RNAcentral describes it as "bacterial SSU rRNA". It matches the Rfam family "Bacterial small subunit ribosomal RNA", at positions 68 to 773 of the family's 1533-position model. Lineage: Bacteria; Pseudomonadati; Bacteroidota; Bacteroidia; Bacteroidales. The record is from RNAcentral.